UACGUAGGGAGCAAGCGUUAUCCGGAUUUACUGGGUGUAAAGGGAGCGUAGACGGCGCGGCAAGUCUGAAGUGAAAGGCAGGGGCUUAACCCCUGAACUGCUUUGGAAACUGCCAUGCUAGAGUGCAGGAGAGGUAAGCGGAAUUCCUAGUGUAGCGGUGAAAUGCGUAGAUAUUAGGAGGAACAUCAGUGGCGAAGGCGACUUUCUGGACUGUAACUGACGCUGAGGCACGAAAGUGUGGGGAGCAAACAGG
This 253-nucleotide ribosomal RNA is filed under the name uncultured Lachnospiraceae bacterium. Its description in RNAcentral is "partial 16S ribosomal RNA". It matches the Rfam family "Bacterial small subunit ribosomal RNA", at positions 524 to 776 of the family's 1533-position model. The record is from RNAcentral. Lineage: Bacteria; Bacillati; Bacillota; Clostridia; Lachnospirales; Lachnospiraceae.